This 579-nucleotide ribosomal RNA is filed under the name bacterium SL2.40. Its description in RNAcentral is "bacterial SSU rRNA". It matches the Rfam family "Bacterial small subunit ribosomal RNA", at positions 57 to 618 of the family's 1533-position model. The record is from RNAcentral.
GCAGUCGAGCGAACUUCUUUAGAGCUUGCUUUAAAGAAGUUAGCGGCGGACGGGUGAGUAACACGUGGGCAACCUGCCUGUAAGACUGGGAUAACUUCGGGAAACCGGAGCUAAUACCGGAUAAUAUAUAGUACCUCCUGGUACUAUAUUGAAAGAUGGUUUCGGCUAUCACUUACAGAUGGGCCCGCGGCGCAUUAGCUAGUUGGUGAGGUAACGGCUCACCAAGGCAACGAUGCGUAGCCGACCUGAGAGGGUGAUCGGCCACACUGGGACUGAGACACGGCCCAGACUCCUACGGGAGGCAGCAGUAGGGAAUCUUCCACAAUGGACGAAAGUCUGAUGGAGCAACGCCGCGUGAGCGAUGAAGGCCUUCGGGUCGUAAAGCUCUGUUGUUAGGGAAGAACAAGUGCGAGAGUAACUGCUCGCACCUUGACGGUACCUAACCAGAAAGCCACGGCUAACUACGUGCCAGCAGCCGCGGUAAUACGUAGGUGGCAAGCGUUGUCCGGAAUUAUUGGGCGUAAAGCGCGCGCAGGCGGUUUCUUAAGUCUGAUGUGAAAGCCCACGGCUCAACCGUGG